GACGAACGCUGGCGGCGUGCUUAACACAUGCAAGUCGAACGGUGAAGCUCCAGCUUGCUGGAGUGGAUCAGUGGCGAACGGGUGAGUAACACGUGAGCAACCUGCCCCAGACUCUGGAAUAAGCGCUGGAAACGGCGUCUAAUACUGGAUACGAGAUCAAGCCGCAUGGUUAUGGUCUGGAAAGUUUUUCGGUUUGGGAUGGGCUCGCGGCCUAUCAGCUUGUUGGUGAGGUAAUGGCUCACCAAGGCGACGACGGGUAGCCGGCCUGAGAGGGCGACCGGCCACACUGGGACUGAGACACGGCCCAGACUCCUACGUGAGGCAGCAGUGGGGAAUAUUGCACAAUGGGCGAAAGCCUGAUGCAGCGACGCCGCGUGAGGGAUGACGGCCUUCGGGUUGUAAACCUCUUUCAGCAGGGAAGAAGCGAAAGUGACGGUACCUGCAGAAGAAGCACCGGCUAACUACGUG
This 468-nucleotide ribosomal RNA is filed under the name uncultured bacterium. RNAcentral describes it as "partial 16S ribosomal RNA". It matches the Rfam family "Bacterial small subunit ribosomal RNA", at positions 28 to 507 of the family's 1533-position model. The record is from RNAcentral.